This is a long non-coding RNA of Acinonyx jubatus (cheetah), 652 nucleotides long. RefSeq lists it as uncharacterized. The transcript has 4 exons. Lineage: Eukaryota; Metazoa; Chordata; Mammalia; Carnivora; Felidae. The record is from RefSeq and is a predicted model, not a curated record.
AAAGCCAGUCAAGACCCAGGUGGCACUGAGGAGAGUGACGACACUUCAGCCACAACUGUUCCUGCUAUUCCUCCUGUUGUUUGCCUGGGUUGUCUUCCCCUGUUGAUGGCAAACCCAUUGCCCACUAUAAGCCUUCAAACUAUAAGCCCUCUAUCUCAGCUUAGCAUUGGACAGAAAACUCACUGGGAAACCAGCCUGAACUGGUAGCUCUUUGAUUGGGAGCCCUCCAACUCAGCAGACAAGAGUCAUGCUGUUGUCAAGUGAAUACAUGGCGAUUCUCUUGCCCAUUCAUCAGAGGCAGUACCAGCACCUUCACAGUACCAGCCCCUCCUCAAGAGUCUCCACAGAGAGAAGGGCCACCCAGACUGUCCUGUUGGAAAUUAUUUACAGGGAAUGUCUCUUGAUAAUGAAGAUCUAACAUGGUCCACCAUCAAGUUUUAUCUAAGGAUGAACAAAGACAUUACCAAGCUGGGAUUAUCUUUACUGCAUCAUAAUACCUUUUGGACCUGGAUAUCUACAUAUGUUUGUGAGAUGAGAAAAGGGAUAUAGCUCUGUCCAGAAAAAUAAAGGAGUCCAGAAUUUACAACAGCCAACUUUAUUGUUAUAACACCAGCUCAAUCUAACAUAUGGCAUAAGAGUAAAGGAAGGUUCU